CGAUUCUAUGCUACCAAUUCCAUAUAUUACCAUCUGCAUCUUUCCUUCUGAGCCCACAGCUUUUAGAAACCUAUCAAAUAUUUCAGGGGUUUGUAACUGAUCCAAAAAUUUCAACCAGAAGGAAGAGCUCUCGAGUUUCCUAAUGCAGGUUUGUAUUUUCUGCAUUCCAUAUAUUACCAUCUGCAUCUUUCCUUCUGAGCCCACAGCUUUUAGAAACCUAUCAAAUAUUUCAGGGGUUUGUAACUGAUCCAAAAAUUUCAACCAGAAGGAAGAGCUCUCGAGUUUCCUAAUGCAGGUUUGUAUUUUCUGCAUCAAUUUAGAUUCUCUCUCUGGAUUGGUCUCAAUAUCUGAUGGAGUCCACAGUUGUUCUUGUUUUUGCCGUUCGUGAAUGAUAACUUUAUGAAAAUUUCUUUUUUGUUUUCCACGACGAGGCAAUACAACAGUC
This 445-nucleotide long non-coding RNA is filed under the name Solanum tuberosum (potato). RNAcentral's name for it is "long non-coding RNA (STUB_LNC010521)". Lineage: Eukaryota; Viridiplantae; Streptophyta; Magnoliopsida; Solanales; Solanaceae. The record is from RNAcentral.